AUGUUGUUUUUUUUCAUUUUCUUUUUCUUAGUUCUAGUAAUACUAAUAUCGGACUUACCUAGACGUGGUAACAUUUUUAAAAUCAUUGGACGAAUUUUUUUCCUUUUUUUAAUGGUACUUUUUUUUUUUAUACAUAUAUACUUUAGACCACUUUUAUCUUAAAAUACUUGUUCCAAUGUAUAAGUGUAGCACCUUUUCUGAAAGUCAAUUUUAUCUACUUGGUAAAUGCAUGGGUCAUUUUUGAUUUUCGAUACGGUAUUAAAAAUAAAAACGAUUAACCGGAAAAAAUAUACGAUUUUUUCACGAUUUGGUUUUUUUAAAUAAGUAUCUACCCCGUUUUCUAGCACAAAUACGGCUCCAAUUGAAAA
Molecule: non-coding RNA, 368 nt
Organism: Cinara cedri
Lineage: Eukaryota; Metazoa; Arthropoda; Insecta; Hemiptera; Aphididae
Source: the annotation of a GenBank genome assembly